This 493-nucleotide ribosomal RNA is filed under the name uncultured bacterium. Its description in RNAcentral is "partial 16S ribosomal RNA". It matches the Rfam family "Bacterial small subunit ribosomal RNA", at positions 29 to 508 of the family's 1533-position model. The record is from RNAcentral.
AGUGAACGCUGGCGGUAGGCCUAACACAUGCAAGUCGAACGGCAGCACAGUAAGAGCUUGCUCUUACGGGUGGCGAGUGGCGGACGGGUGAGGAAUACAUCGGAAUCUACUUUUUCGUGGGGGAUAACGUAGGGAAACUUACGCUAAUACCGCAUACGACCUACGGGUGAAAGCAGGGGAUCUUCGGACCUUGCGCGAUUGAAUGAGCCGAUGUCGGAUUAGCUAGUUGGCGGGGUAAAGGCCCACCAAGGCGACGAUCCGUAGCUGGUCUGAGAGGAUGAUCAGCCAAGCUGGGACUGAGACACGGUCCAGACUCCUACGGGAGGCAGCAGUGGGGAAUUUUGGACAAUGGGCGCAAGCCUGAUCCAGCCAUACCGCGUGGGUGAAGAAGGCCUUCGGGUUGUAAAACCCUUUUGUUGGGAAAGAAAAGCAGCAGGUUAAUACCCCGCUGUUCUGACGGUACCCAAAAAAUAAGCACCGGCUAACUUCGUGC